Molecule: ribosomal RNA, 17 nt
Filed under: Chattonella subsalsa
Lineage: Eukaryota; Raphidophyceae; Chattonellales; Chattonellaceae
Also listed under: 1 other name
Description: partial large subunit ribosomal RNA
Source: RNAcentral
ACCCGCUGAAUUUAAGC